Unclassified non-coding RNA from Fukomys damarensis (Damara mole-rat), 293 nucleotides. Its record names the gene 7SK. It matches the Rfam family "7SK RNA". Rfam says of the family: 7SK was discovered as an abundant small nuclear RNA in the mid-70s but a possible function has only recently been suggested. Two independent studies have found that 7SK RNA binds the CDK9/cyclin T complex (known as elongation factor P-TEFb). The record is from Ensembl. NCBI's taxonomy places the organism in Eukaryota, Metazoa, Chordata, Mammalia, Rodentia, Bathyergidae.
UGACGUGGAGGAGAGCUGGCUGUGACAUCAUCACCCCACUGGCCUCCAGGCUUGCUCCACCUCAUCCGGCUGGCCAGGCAGGUGUGCCUCUCCUCCCUCUCCGCUCCAUGUGUAUCUCUCCAAAGCUGUGAGCACCCCUCGUAGAGGAGGACAGUUUCCUCAGUCAGGGAUACAUGAGUGGCUGCACUCCUCUGCUAGGACCUCCAAACAAGUUCUCAAAAUGAAUUUGCCAGCUCAUCCUAGGAGGAUAUUCUUCUAACUCCUAGACAGUGUGAAAUACUUAGUCACCUGUG